GGUGGCUGGGUGGGUUGGGCAGCGCGUGUGCUCAUGGUCGGGUGAAUUUAUGGGAUUUAUCCAAGUUAAUGGUAGUGCUGGAGGCAGCCCCAGGGAGCGAGGCAAUCGGAAUGUGCCUCUUACCACUCCAUUAAGCCGCUCUCUGGACACGGAGUCAUCCCACUAGGCCUGUGCUUUUAAUGCCAAGAUCCGCAUUGCCCAGCCCUGGCCUGUGGGUCUCCUCCUCCUGCGCCCCAGCCCCACCUGCGGUCUUUGCAAACAGCGCCCCUGGACGAGGAGGGCACACGGACCCGAUCCGCUUCCCCAAAGCCUGUGGAGCACUUAUCAGUCCUAUUUAAAGCUCCAGUUAAGGAUUCGGAUUAGGGACUAUGUCAUUAAAUGACCACAUUCACGAGCCCUCAGAGAAAAGCUCUCACAAAGCUUUUGAGCUCAUGGCCUCUUGGCUGCCUUAGGAGCUUCCAGUGUGUUAACAUUCAGAAAAUCAAAAUAUUCCGAGCGCUGGCGCUGCAGCAUUCCCAGGCCUUUGCGGACUGGAAGCUUCUCUGUCUGCUGUGUGGACGGAGCGGCAGGAGCCAGUGAGUCCUGGGCAGCUUCGGGGCCACCUGGUCACAACCCCCCUCUGUCCCUCUGUCCCAGGGGCCCGGUCCUCUCGGCGGGGCUCCAGACCUCUGGCGGCUGCUUUUGUGCUCCUUCGCGGGGCAUCUGUGAGAACAGUCUGGAAGAUAAUGACAGAGUGCUUGCCUGGGGUGUCAGAGGAACUCUGGUUAUGUCUGAGCCGAACCCCCGGAGCCUCUGGACCACCUAGCACUGAGGGAACGGGAACUGGAGGGCGGGUGUGAGGCCGGGAGGAGCCUUCCAAUGGGAAGAAACCAAAGUUUCCUGCUGUGUCAUCUGAACUGGAAAGUGUUGUCCCCCAGGAAGUCUCUUGCCCUCCCCUUCUGCACGGGCAGCCGCUUCCCACGCUGUCCUUUGAUGGACACGCCAAUGCAGGUGGGAAUGAGCUUGGAAAUUCUAAAUGACCAGAGUGAUUUCUGGGCCCUGAGUGUAUUACAGAUGGAGAAAGCUUCUGAAUUCUCUAUGGAACUCCAGGCCCGACCUUGGGAUGGGAGGUGGGCGGCUGGGCCCACAAGGAAAGAGGUCUUGUCUUGCCCCACAGAGGAGGUGCUACCCUGAGCACUGUCGGGGGAGGAUUUCAAGGCCGCCCCCGGCCACCCCUGAUGGAUGCAUCAGUCACUUCAGCCGUGGUGCUGGGGGGACCCGAAGCGCAGGAGCAUCCUCUGUCGUCCUCCUGGCUGGGACCCUCUCACUUCCUGUCUGCACUGCAGCCCCAGUGUGUUCCUCUGGGAGCAUGGGGGCGACGCCAUCUGGGCCUGCCACUGGUCCUUCAGUGACCUUUGACCUCCCCAUCACCUGUGCUCCCCAAGUCUGGGGUCAUUUCCUGCUCAGAUAUCUUCUACCCCUGAUGAUCGAUUCCCCCUGGAGGGGUGAGCCACUGUCGGGAGGGGAGAUGAUGCUGCCUUGGGAGCUGAUCACGCAAGGAGGGGCAACCCCAGCCCAGAUCCUGGAGGUCUUUGGGCUUCCCGGUAGAAGCCGGCCUUUGUGUCAGCAAACCAAGAAAAUGCCUCCCCAAAAUGGUCUCCAGGUCCCCCCAAACGCCUACCUCCCCCUCCAGCCUUCUCCACUGAUGCCUGCAGCUCCAUCAGUAGCGUUUCAUUCCACCCCAACAGGAGCUGGUACUGGUUCUUCCCUGGCCUCAUACUGGGGUAGAUUUUAAAUAGGAUUGGGAGCAGGGAAAGGAGUCAGAGAAAGGAAGGGUUCCAGGAAGCUGGGGAGGGAGAUGUCAGGUGGGGUGACGGGAAAGGAGGCCAAGGACCACCUUUGUCUGUAGGAUGGGCUGAACUGUGUUCCCACAAAAGAUAGGGAGUCCUAACCCCAGCUACCUGUGAAUGUGACCUUAUUUGGGAAUAGAGUUUUUGCAGAUGGAAUCAAGUCACGAUGAGGUCACUAGUGUGAGCCUUAAUGUAAUAGGAUUGAUGUCCUUUUAAGAAGAGAAGACAGAGACACAUGGGAGAAGGCCACGUGAUGAAGGAGGCAGAAGCUGGAGCGACGCUACCACAGGCCAAGGAACACCGGGGUUACCAGGAACUGGAAGAGGCGAGGAGGGGCCAUCCCCUAAAGACUUUGGAGAGAGUAUGGCUCUGUCAACACCUUGAUUUCAGACCUGUAGCCCCUAAAUGGUGAGAGAAUAAUUGUCUAUUGUUUUAAGCCCUCCAGCUUAUAGUACAUUGUAAAGGCAGCCCUAGGAAGCCCUUGCCAGUUUCACUCAUUAUGAUAAAUAUCAUAGAUGAUGACUGUCAUAUAUUGGAUGUGCUGGAGAUCUUAACAGCCACAGAAUAAACUGCAGGCCAGAAAAAGAACAUUCAUAUGAGGUCCCCAGGAGGGGCUGGCUGUGCCAGUCAGAGACUGCAGAACCAGGUAGGCAGACAAAGUGAAAUUGCCUGGAGCUGGACACGUAUGUGCACCACUGGGAAAUAAAUAGACUUGCAGUGGAAAUGACCAACGUGGAUGGCCAGGGAAAUGCCGGCAGCAAUAAAAGAAAAGAGCGCACAAGGCCUGUAAAUCAGCAGAUGCGAGAGCUCCUGAAAAGUGGCGAAGUCUGAAAUAAAAGGCAGGCUCAGGCUUGGGGUCUAAGAAGUUGAAGCAGGAUAUGAGAGCGCGGGCACUGUGUGUGCUGGGCUCCCGAAGACCGCAGGGAGUGGCCAGAAGUCUCCAGAGGCAGCAUCAUGCGGGGCAAGGGGGACCUGAGGAGUGUCAGCAUCCUCGGUCACCUCCUUCUUCGAACCAGCUGUUCGGAAUCUGGUGUCUUAUUUAGGAUAAUUGUAGGAACUGACUUUUUUUUUUUUUCUCACCUGUUGGCUGACUGAAAGAACCGACUUUUUAAUGAGCACCUCCCUCAUUAGAAUUGUUCAAAUGAUAACAGCUGCAGCAGUGGGAGCAGCAGCGAGGUUGAAAAUCCAACAGUCUGCAUUCCACAGCAACAGUACUCUUGGUCACCUCGGAGACAUGGCAGCCAAGAGCCAUGGCUCUCAUCGCUCGUGGUUGGUUGGGUUGCCAGGCCUAGGGCUACAGAAUGUAGCUAAAAGAGAGGCUUGGCGGGCAGCUAAGAGGGGCGCAGGACACCAGGAUGGGGUUCAUGUGGCAAGAGUGGAUGGAGCCAGUGGCCCAGUAGGGAUGAGAUGGCACAGUUCCAAUGGGCAGGACAAACCCCAGUCACUGUCUCAGGGUAGUGGCCGAAUUUGACAGGAGGUAAACAGCAGACAAAAUCCUGGAGCACAAGAGGGCAAGAGUGUCUCAUUCCUAUGAACGGCAAUAUUGGAGGACCGACCCCCAAGAGCAUCAGCUUCCAAGGCAGGGCUUUCUGUCUGGCGUUGGCAGCAGCCACCUAGCACUAUAGGCAGGGAGAAGCAGCCCAGGUCCCCUCACAUUUGCCUCACUUAGACUCUUUUGACCAAAGCACCACUGUUUAAAGCCUCAUUUUUCUUCUCCCACGUGGAAAAUCAUAUUGCUUAAAUUUAAAAAUGACGAUAGAUAGAUUGAUGAAAAAAUCCCCAUACAGCAAAAUUCUGCCUGUGACAAAAGGGUCUCCAUGUCUGAGGUGACGGUCUACUUUGAGUGACGCCAAGAACGUCAAAAUCGCUCUAUAAAAAAAGAAUAGGAACCAAUAGGGCUCAUGAAAAUGCCACACUAAGAAAAGUCAACAAAUAUAUACUUAGUGGUAAUUAUGGUUGCAGAGAAAGAGAAAACUUAAAACAAUAUGAACAUAUAUGGUUACAUAGAUUGAAAACCCACCAUGUCAUAAAACCCCAGGACACAGAAUGCAUCAGCGUAGACAGCAGCCAUACAGACAAUGCUGGGGCGGUUGUGGAGUGGGACUGGAGGGCGGGAGGAGCCAUCGAGUCAGGUCCAAGGCCAUUAGCCUUGUGAUGCCAGCAAAAUGUCUUCAAAAGUCACUGGAUUUUUCAAUGAGAAGGAAAAGUUAGGCAGCUACCAAAUAGCUGAAAGAAUAUUAAAUCUGAUGGAUCCAGCCAAAUAAAAAUGUUCAGUCAUUCAUGGGAUUUGCGGUUGUUGAGGAAUCUUCUAAGUUUUAUAAAUGGCAAAAACUCUUUCUCAAAGUUACAGAUCAGACCUCACAUAUGCAUGAGAAGAGAAGCUAUUUUUGUCUCUGGGUUCCAGUUACACAUCCACAGCCUGGAAGCUUUGUUCUCAGAAUUCAUGCUGUCAUCAAAAGGACUCAAUACAAACACUGCAGCCAGCCUGCCAUGGCUUAGCUGUGACCGCAGCUGCAAACUCUUCUGUCAUGUGAAAACCUUUGGGCUUUUUCCGGGUGUGGAGUGCCUGUUGGUCCCAGCUCCGCCUGCCUUUCCUCCUCCUGGAAUCGUGCCCAUCCUUUCAGUCAACUCAGUUUUUCCGCAUCUUCCAGGCCUCAUACCUCCGCCUGAUCUGCAUGGCAGUGGUGGGCUGGCUCUUUGUGCUUUUACACCGUGAUCAUGUUUAGCGGGUCAGCUUCUACAGAAUCGACCGGCACCUGUGUGAUGUCUUUCCCUAGCUGGAUGCAGCUUCUCCAUGGGCUAAGUUCAUCAUGUUAACAAUGCCUGCCCCACAGGCCCUCAGGGGAUUUUAAUGGGUGGUCUGUGGAGAGACUUUAGCAGGUAUAUGAAUCCCCAAAAUUGUAGGCAAAAUUUGUGUGCGCCGUUGCCUGUUGACAGCGGGGACUCUGCGGCUGCUUUCUUCUAGAAGCCUCCUGCGGAUUUGAGUGAAUCAUGGCAGUCUCCUUCCCUCUAGAGUGAUUAGUUUCGGCUUUGGCUCAACAUGGUGCAGACCAUGGGAUCCAAAGGGAAGUUUGCUGGGCAUUUCUGGGAAGGAGGGCUCUUCUUCUGAUUUGGUAGGGAGCCCUCUUUUUCAUCAAACGCCACGGCUCUCACAUGAAUGCUGCCUAGAGCAGACACAGCCCUUCCAGGACCAGAGGCCAAGGCUGAUAAUGGGACAAGAGGGUGGAGGAAGAAGUGAGGAGCAUCUAGGCCUUCCUCUUUGACCAAGCACUGUCCUAACCAGUCCUGAUUUGUUCGCUUCUAGUUACAUGAUAUAAUAAAUGUCCUAUUUCUUAAGGCACUU
Macaca mulatta (Rhesus monkey) is the source of this 5172-nucleotide long non-coding RNA. RefSeq lists it as uncharacterized. Lineage: Eukaryota; Metazoa; Chordata; Mammalia; Primates; Cercopithecidae. The record is from RefSeq and is a predicted model, not a curated record.